GUACUUUGGGUAGCCUGGGAACUGGGUCUAAUACCGAAUAGGACCACGGCAUUCAUGGGCUGUGGUGGAAAGCUUUUGCGGUGUGGGAUGGGCCCGCGGCCUAUCAGCUUGUUGGUGGGGUAAUGGCCUACCAAGGCGACGACGGGUAGCCGGCCUGAGAGGGUGACCGGCCACACUGGGACUGAGAUACGGCCCAGACUCCUACGGGAGGCAGCAGUGGGGAAUAUUGCACAAUGGGCGCAAGCCUGAUGCAGCGACGCCGCGUGAGGGAUGACGGCCUUCGGGUUGUAAACCUCUUUCAGUACCGACGAAGCGCAAGUGACGGUAGGUACAGAAGAAGGACCGGCCAACUACGUGCCAGCAGCCGCGGUAAUACGUAGGGUCCGAGCGUUGUCCGGAAUUACUGGGCGUAAAGAGCUCGUAGGUGGUUUGUCGCGUUGUUCGUGAAAACUCACAGCUUAACUGUGGGCGUGCGGGCGAUACGGGCAGACUGGAGUACUGCAGGGGAGACUGGAAUUCCUGGUGUAGCGGUGGAAUGCGCAGAUAUCAGGAGGAACACCGGUGGCGAAGGCGGGUCUCUGGGCAGUAACUGACGCUGAGGAGCGAAAGCGUGGGGAGCGAACAGGAUUAGAUACCCUGGUAGUCCACGCCGUAAACGGUGGGUACUAGGUGUGGGUUUCCUUCCUUGGGAUCCGUGCCGUAGCUAACGCAUUAAGUACCCCGCCUGGGGAGUACGGCCGCAAGGCUAAAACUCAAAGGAAUUGACGGGGGCCCGCACAAGCGGCGGAGCAUGUGGAUUAAUUCGAUGCAACGCGAAGAACCUUACCUGGGUUUGACAUGCACAGGACGCCGGCAGAGAUGUCGGUUCCCUUGUGCCCU
RNAcentral lists this ribosomal RNA (879 nucleotides) under Mycolicibacterium fortuitum. RNAcentral's name for it is "bacterial SSU rRNA". It matches the Rfam family "Bacterial small subunit ribosomal RNA", at positions 133 to 1029 of the family's 1533-position model. The record is from RNAcentral. Lineage: Bacteria; Bacillati; Actinomycetota; Actinomycetes; Mycobacteriales; Mycobacteriaceae.